CAUCCCUCAUCUCAUCCAAAGAAACCUCCAAAUUAUCCACAUUUAAUUAGCACCCAAACAAACCUCUGACCCACAAACUCCAGCAGUAAAUUGUAUUCUUCUCUACAACACAGUGAGUAUGCACUUGCAAUUUGACCUGUUCAUGAAAGGCACUAACUUUUAAAGUCAGAAGGAGAACUUCAUGUGGGUAUUUAAGCAUUAGAUCUGUGGAUCCAUCAAAAUCAAA
Molecule: unclassified non-coding RNA, 226 nt
Filed under: Hevea brasiliensis (rubber tree)
Lineage: Eukaryota; Viridiplantae; Streptophyta; Magnoliopsida; Malpighiales; Euphorbiaceae
Source: RNAcentral